GCGACCUCUCGCCGAGAGCGACUGCGAUUGAAAUCAAAUCGUUGUUCUGCUGGCUCUCCCCCAACACAGCGACGCAUCAAAGCCUGCGUUGUUCGCGUCUUUUGAUGUAAAGGACGCGAGCAGAUCAACACUGAAAAAGCCGCAGCACUGCUGGAGGCGGGAACCGACGGUUUCAUCAUCCGCCUUAACGCUGUACCACGUUAAAUCAGGCCUUCUGCCUCGUACCGCAGUCCUACUGCGGUUCUGCUGCUGUGGAACCGGCACCAUUUUGGUUUUAAAGAGGAUGAUCCUACAGAAAGCCAUCGAGGCGGAGCGGGCUGCAGUAGGGACGGAAAAUCUGUGGUCAUUUGCUGCCAUCUAUCGGCAAUAAUGAGCAAGAAGUCAAAUCUAAAACGGCGUCCUGUCGAAAAUGCAAAGCAUUGCAACUCAGGCCGUGGAAGUAGGGUUAGAGGUGGCACUGAGGGCGAGAUCUGCAGAUGCAGAACGCAUCCUUUCAACAGGAUUGAAAAAAAGCAAUCCUGCCUCUCAAAUAAGUUUUCUUGUUGUGUUCUCUUAUCUAUUCUAGCACAUCUUCAAGCUGGAAAUGCAUCUUGAGAACUUCCUGGUUCAGAGAUGCUCACAUCUGCUGCCUCCUCCUCCUGUCUUCUUUGCUACAAGAAGCCAGUUCAAUAUUUUUUCCCCAAUUUACCAUAACACCUUUCCAUUCAUUCCCUAGCUGACAUCGAGCUUCUCGUUAUCUCAUAACGACAAAAAGAGAAGACAUCACAUGCAGCCCAAAGAACGCCAAAAGACAGCACCACGAAACCGCAGGACUUCUGGCUAUUAGCACUUUCCUUCUAUUGGAACAGCAACUUCUUAAACACCACAGUCUCUAAGCAUUAGAUCAAGACAAGACAGGGGUUCUGACCGAAAGGGCUUCAACAAUACAGUUCCUACUGGCCACCAGUCAGCUCAUCUAGAAGAGACUUAUAAAGGAAGCAUAACACAUGUGGAAGUACCAACAAGUAAAGAUCUAAGCUUUGUGUAACUCUCCUUGUUUUCUUCUUCUGCAGUGUAGCUCUUAAGGUAGGAGCAUUGUCACCAGAGGGUGAAAAUUAUACUUGAGCAAGCUUAAGCUCUGAUGCUGAGUUAAUAACACUUGAAGUAUUUCUACAUUCAAAUAAACACUCCUGAUGCAACUUCCCCAUCUGCUGACUUCUUCUGGCCAAGCUUAAGCACUCUGUAGAAAACCACAGAAGGGGCUUCUGCUGGGAGAUGGCAUCUGGGUGUGAAAUUAGCAAGCCAGAAAUGUAAAGUAGUGCUGUGCAAAACUCUCAUGUUAAAAUGCAACAUGAAAACUUUCCUUUAGCUGUACCAUAAGUUUAAAAAAAAAAAAAAAAUGUCCUGGUAUACUUUAAAACUGCAAAACAUGAGAUUGAGGAAGAUAGAUAUAAAGUCCUUGAGGUCAAAUUUGCAAUAUACCCAUAGCACAGUCAGGUGGGCUGGUUACAGCCACCUGUUUCCUGAUCCAUUUGUAAUGAGAGACUCAAUAGAUCUGUGUGGGAGGACCUCCACCCCUGUGCAGUGGCCCAUUUAAGCAAGGGAAGUGUUAUGCAGGGGAAGAACCAUGUCUGCACAGAUCUAAUUAUAGGAGUGCAGCCAAAUUUUGUGUUUACUGGACUUAAAUUUAUCCCCCUUUUGCUCUAAAAUAUAACCUAUUUGCAUAAAGUAAUACAAGUUCUAGAGUGACAGAACUGUAAACUCAUUAUCUGAGUACAGCAAGAUGGUGUUGUGUAAACUCUGUGAUACUCUGCUUUUUCCAAACAGAUGCUGGGAGAUUCUUCAUGUAGAACAAUGUUAAGUAUUAAAUACCAUGGAAGGCUGCUGCUUGAUUAAAGCCCUUACUCACUAUGUGUUCAUUCUUUCUAGGGUAUGAGCGUCCAAGCUUGUGGCUUGCCUGGGUCACACAGAAAAGAGGAAUUGUCUUGUGCUGCAUCUACAUCUGUUGCUCCAAAAGUAAUGCCUCCU
Molecule: long non-coding RNA, 2007 nt
Organism: Phasianus colchicus (ring-necked pheasant)
Lineage: Eukaryota; Metazoa; Chordata; Aves; Galliformes; Phasianidae
Source: RefSeq, a predicted model, not a curated record